RNAcentral lists this ribosomal RNA (472 nucleotides) under uncultured bacterium. RNAcentral's name for it is "SSU rRNA". It matches the Rfam family "Bacterial small subunit ribosomal RNA", at positions 26 to 518 of the family's 1533-position model. The record is from RNAcentral.
AGGAUAAACGCUGGCGGCGUGCCUAACACAUGCAAGUCGAACGUCUCUUCUUUCGGGAAGAGGAGUGGCGGACGGGUGAGGAACACGUGGGAACCUGCCCUUUAGUGAGGAAUACCGGCGAGAAAUCGCCGACAAGACCGCAUAGCCCUCUUUGAUGAGAGUCAAAGAAGGAAAGCUUCGCAAGAGGCGCUAGAGGAGGGGCCUGCGUCCGAUUAGCUAGUUGGUGGGGUAAGAGCCUACCAAGGCGUCGAUCGGUAGCUGGUCUGAGAGGACGAUCAGCCACACUGGGAUUGAGAACGGCCCAGACUCCUACGGGGGCAGCAGUGAGGAAUUUUCCGCAAUGGGCGCAAGCCUGACGGAGCAACGCCGCGUGCAGGAAGACGGUUUUCGGAUCGUAAACUGCUUUUCUCGGGGACGAGAACGGACGGUACCCGAGGAAUCAGCCCCGGCUAACUACGUGCCAGCACGCCGC